UCUAGAACUCGAGAUAUGGGUUGAACACUGAACAAUGUUUGGGCUGUAGGAUAAAUUCGGACAUCUCCGUUGUUGCUAUAAUUUGGACUUGAAAACAACAUUUUUAAAUCUUGAACUCCCAUGAACGUUUUAGGCCUAUGUCUUAGCUUUCUAUC
Molecule: non-coding RNA, 155 nt
Organism: Populus trichocarpa (black cottonwood)
Lineage: Eukaryota; Viridiplantae; Streptophyta; Magnoliopsida; Malpighiales; Salicaceae
Source: Rfam